This 276-nucleotide non-coding RNA is filed under the name Lactococcus garvieae. Lineage: Bacteria; Bacillati; Bacillota; Bacilli; Lactobacillales; Streptococcaceae. The record is from RNAcentral.
GCAAAGAAAGCGACUAGGAGAGUAAAAGCGAAAGUUAGCACAGGGAGCUUGCAGCUAGUGAGAGCAAGACUAAUGGAAACUUUGAAAAUGGCCUAGAAAUCGCGUAACAGUGAGUUUACUUUCUAAAUAAACUGUUAACGGAGUGGUUCUCGUUAUUGAACACAUUAUUUUUGGGGCAGUCUUGCUUGUCACCAAAGAUAAUUAGCAAGACGUAAGACAUCCUUUUUUGGUAUUUUACGUGAAAUUAGAAUGGUACCACGAUAAUUCGUUUCUAUU